RNAcentral lists this long non-coding RNA (307 nucleotides) under Amborella trichopoda. RNAcentral's name for it is "long non-coding RNA (ATRI_LNC001311)". The record is from RNAcentral. Lineage: Eukaryota; Viridiplantae; Streptophyta; Magnoliopsida; Amborellales; Amborellaceae.
AAUCUUUACAUGAUGGUCGAUCUACCUUCCUAAGUAGGAAGAAGUCUACUUGACUUUUGCAUGCCGUACUUUUAUAGAUUAUUGAAUGUUCAUCUUAUUUUUGGAAGUAAGUAUUUGCUAUUGCCAGGUCAUAGGCCAAAACAAAUUUUAUAAUAGCCUCACUCAUCUCAUUUAUUCUACUAAACUCAUAUCCCCAUGUAUCCCUUCCUAUCCUCUACUAUCCUUCCGUACAUGACUAUUUAAAGCCCCUCUUAAAAAGGUCCUUUCCUCCCACAAUUGUCUCGUAAUUCUAUCUUUUAGUCCUACU